UACGUAGGGGGCGAGCGUUGUCCGGAUUCAUUGGGCGUAAAGCGCGCGUAGGCGGCCCCGCAAGUCGGCCGUGAAAUCUCCGGGCUCAACUCGGAGGGGUCGGGCGAGACUGCGGGGCUCGAGGUGGGCAGAGGGCAGUGGAAUUCCGGGUGUAGUGGUGGAAUGCGUAGAGAUCCGGAGGAACACCAGUGGCGAAGGCGGCUGCCUGGGCCUGGCCUGACGCUGAGGCGCGAAAGCGUGGGGAGCGAUCCGG
RNAcentral lists this ribosomal RNA (253 nucleotides) under uncultured bacterium. Its description in RNAcentral is "partial 16S ribosomal RNA". It matches the Rfam family "Bacterial small subunit ribosomal RNA", at positions 524 to 776 of the family's 1533-position model. The record is from RNAcentral.